AGGACGAACGCUGGCGGCGUGCUUAACACAUGCAAGUCGGGCGGAAAGGCCCUUCGGGGUACUCGAGCGGCGAACGGGUGAGUAACACGUGGGCAACCUGCCCUUAGCUCUGGGAUAGCUCCGGGAAACCGGAAUUAAUACCGGAUAUGACCUAGGCCGACAUCGGCCGUGGUGGAAAGUUUUUCGGCUAGGGAUGGACUCGCGGCCUAUCAGCUAGUUGGUGGGGUAAUGGCCUACCAAGGCGACGACGGGUAGCCGGCCUGAGAGGGCGACCGGCCACACUGGGACUGAGACACGGCCCAGACUCCUACGGGAGGCAGCAGUGGGGAAUCUUGCACAAUGGGCGAAAGCCUGACGCAGCGACGCCGCGUGGGGGAUGAAGGCCUUCGGGUUGUAAACCCCUUUCAGCAGGGACGAAGCGAAAGUGACGGUACCUGCAGAAGAAGCGCCGGCUAACUACGCGCCAGCAGCCGC
This 474-nucleotide ribosomal RNA is filed under the name uncultured bacterium. RNAcentral's name for it is "SSU rRNA". It matches the Rfam family "Bacterial small subunit ribosomal RNA", at positions 26 to 518 of the family's 1533-position model. The record is from RNAcentral.